Long non-coding RNA from Culex pipiens pallens (northern house mosquito), 1365 nucleotides. RefSeq lists it as uncharacterized. The transcript has 2 exons. Lineage: Eukaryota; Metazoa; Arthropoda; Insecta; Diptera; Culicidae. The record is from RefSeq and is a predicted model, not a curated record.
UUUGUUAAUUUGAAUGCGGUUAACCGCGGUGGAUUUUCUUAAAAUACUUCAUGCGACGCGCGGGUGUCGCAUGACACAUUUCAGAAUAUUUCAAAUGAAACAUUUCUCUGCUGAAAUUCCACCAAAACAUUGACCAGGCUCACCACACAAAAAGCUCGGUGCAGCAGCUCACCAAAGCGGUAGAUUUUUGACAGCUGUUUGUUUUGUUGUUUUUUUGGUAAUGUUUGCCAAUGAGGAAGCACUGCAGACGCUUCUGCAAGUGUACCGCUAUACCCCAAUCGGCGAUCUCGGAGGCAAGUCUCCGGCGGAAAAGAUGUUCGGCCGGCCAGUCCGGACCAUCUCUGCUCUCCUCCAGCCGACCAAGGACGUUUCGCCAAGCAGCAGCGCUAGGGCGGAGAAGCAGAACGACGCUUUCAAAAUGCACGGCGCGACUCAAUGGACCUUUAGCACGGCGAUGCCGUCUUCGCGCAGGUUCAUCGUGCCAACUCCUGGCAAUAGGAGGUUGGUACCGUGAUCGACGACGCCGACGACGCUUGAUCCGUUAGCACGCGAACCAGCUGAAGCACCGAGUUUGGAGACUACUGCCUCGCCAGAGCCGACGCCGCUCUGAUUGUUCUUCGACCGUUUUGGAUUGGCCGAUCCGGUGGCAGCCACAGUGCCUGCAGCGCCUGGGUUAACUCCUGUUCCAGUGGAAGACAGCGACUUGGAUCUCUCGGACGACAACUCUGAAGAAUCCGACGAUCAGGAGCAGUUUCUGGAGGACGAGGACAUCCGGCACCGUCGAUUGAAAAACAAACCAAAAAAAUAUAAUUCUGAGAUACGUUCACUGGUGCCAAUUUGUCAAACUGACAUUUCUGGGGUACGUUCACAAAAUGCUGCAACAACGGCAGCACUGAACGCACCCACCGCGUGACAAAGCAUGCUACACAAAAAUGUAUCUGGAAAUGUCAAAAUGAAGUAUUUCAUUUACCGCGGUAGACACCGGUGGAUAAUAUUCAAAUUAACAAAAGCCCUUCAGUGUCAAAGUUUCCAGCUAAAAUGGACCAUAUUUUUAGGAACAUUGGCCAUUGUCGGCCUUGGGAAUUAUCCGACGGUCAAGGAUUGCGUGUAAAUGGACAAAACGCAAGAACUCCCGGCGUUCCAGAUUGUGGUCAGCCGUCACAAAUUCCGAAAUUGGGCGUUGACAUUGGCAUUCCGAAGUGUGUUUUCCUACCGAGGACGCGGCGGUGACCGGGCAAGAGUGGAACUGGUCUGUUUUAAAACUUAACGACCAAGCUGGCUAACAACCUGAAUCCGGAAGCAGGCAUCCGCUGUUGGGAGAAUCUUCAGCGGAUAGCAGAUUUCAGCCGAACAAGCGCAAGGAAA